This 541-nucleotide long non-coding RNA is filed under the name Helianthus annuus (common sunflower). The record is from RNAcentral. Lineage: Eukaryota; Viridiplantae; Streptophyta; Magnoliopsida; Asterales; Asteraceae.
UUAUUCCGCCGCACCUCCAUCUUCAUCGCACAACCCUAUUCCGCCGGAGAUCUAGUUCCUCAUCGCAUGCCACCCCUUCUCGUCGUUUAGAGUUCGUUUUUGUAGCUGGAGAUCUGUUCUUCACCGCACACCGCUAUGGUGGUAUGGCGAAGACGAGCGGGACGAUGGCGGAAGGAACGGCGGUGACGGCGGAAGGAGUGGGCUUCUGUUUUGGUCGGAGAUCUUGUUGAUUCGGGUCUCAACAUCGGUAACGAUAACAAUAGAAGGGUCUAAACCCUAGCAAUGGUGGCGGUUCCAAAACAGAUCCGAUGAGCAGGAGAAAGAGAGAGUGGUGGACCAGGCGGUUGUGGUGUUAUGAGUUUAGAGAGAAAGAGAGAGUGGCAGUGGUGGUGUUAUGAGUUUAGAGCGAGAGAGAGAGUGGCGGUGGAGUAGCUCCGAUGAUGGUGGUGGUCAUGUCUUAGGCGGUGGCAGUGGUGGACUUGGGCAGUGGUUGACUGGUUUUAUUUUAGAAAGAGAAAAGAAUGAAACAAGCAGCAUUAUU